Olea europaea var. sylvestris is the source of this 584-nucleotide long non-coding RNA. RefSeq lists it as uncharacterized. The record is from RefSeq and is a predicted model, not a curated record. The transcript has 2 exons. Lineage: Eukaryota; Viridiplantae; Streptophyta; Magnoliopsida; Lamiales; Oleaceae.
UGUACAUAAUGAGGGAUGGAUAUCAUUCUAUAACAUCAUUACAAAAGAACUAUGCAGAUUGAAUGAGGAAUUUUUCUCGCACCUGAAAGGUGAACUAGGGAAACUAAGGUUUGCCGUAUUAAAGACUCAGGUUUGUCUUUAUAAUUUUUUGAUUUGGUUUUUGUGAGAUGAAUGAGAAGAAGCAAGCAUCUACAAUGAUUUUGUUUGUAGGAAAUGGAAGACAGAUUGACAGAACUGGAAGCACUCCAAAAGGCUCUGCAGCAAAGGAAUAGAAGCCUAUGAUAAAAUGCAAGAUGAACUCGUAAGCGCGAGGAAGAACUUAACGAAAAUUUUGACAUCAGAUAAUGUCAAGACUAUUGUAUGAUACUUUUCUUAGCUCGUUACAUCAUAGUAUUAUGUUUCCUGAUUUUCAUUUGGUCACUCGACGCUGGUAUGUAUGCAAUGUAGCUAUUGGAAAUGGUUGAGCAGAAUGAGUUUAAUAGAUCUUUGUUGACACUUCUUGAUGAAAAUAUUGUGAAUUCAUAUCAUGCUAACCCGGUGAGAGGAGUCAAAUAUUUUUCUAUUUGAUCCAGAUGAAUUUUUCA